GAUGAAGAACGUAGCGAAAUGCGAUAAGUAAUGUGAAUUGCAGAAUUCAGUGAAUCAUCGAAUCUUUGAACGCACCUUGCGCUCCUUGGUAUUCCGAGGAGCAUGCCUGUUUGAGUGUCAUUAAAAUAUCAACCUUCUCUUUUUUGAGUUGUUUGGAUGUGGGGGUUUGCUGGCCUCUUAAAUGAUUCAGCUCCCCUGAAAUGCAUUAGCAGAACAACCUGUUCAUUAGCGUGAUAAUUAUCUAUGCUAUUGAAUGUGAGGGCAGUUCAGCUUUCUAACCGUCCUUGGACAAUUCAUCAUUAAUGUGACCUCAAAUCAGGUAGGACUACCCGCUGAACUUAAGCAUAUCAAUAAGCGGAGGA
This 362-nucleotide unclassified non-coding RNA is filed under the name soil metagenome. RNAcentral's name for it is "partial contains 5.8S ribosomal RNA, internal transcribed spacer 2, and large subunit ribosomal RNA". The stretch from base 1 to 120 matches the Rfam family "5.8S ribosomal RNA", at positions 35 to 154 of the family's 154-position model. The record is from RNAcentral.